RNAcentral lists this transfer RNA (76 nucleotides) under Xylanibacter ruminicola. Its description in RNAcentral is "Prevotella ruminicola tRNA_Trp_CCA". It matches the Rfam family "tRNA". From Rfam's summary of the family: Transfer RNA (tRNA) molecules are approximately 80 nucleotides in length. Their secondary structure includes four short double-helical elements and three loops (D, anti-codon, and T loops). Further hydrogen bonds mediate the characteristic L-shaped molecular structure. tRNAs have two regions of fundamental functional importance: the anti-codon, which is responsible for specific mRNA codon recognition, and the 3' end, to which the tRNAs corresponding amino acid is attached (by aminoacyl-tRNA synthetases). tRNAs cope with the degeneracy of the genetic code in two manners: having more than one tRNA (with a specific anti-codon) for a particular amino acid; and 'wobble' base-pairing, i.e. permitting non-standard base-pairing at the 3rd anti-codon position. The record is from RNAcentral. Lineage: Bacteria; Pseudomonadati; Bacteroidota; Bacteroidia; Bacteroidales; Prevotellaceae.
GCGGAAAUAGCUCAGUUGGUAGAGCGUCGGUCUCCAAAACCGAAUGUCGGGGGUUCAAGUCCUUCUUUCCGCGCCA